AAAUUGAAGAGUUUGAUCAUGGCUCAGAUUGAACGCUGGCGGCAGGCCUAACACAUGCAAGUCGAGCGGAAACGGCAGCAUUGAAGCUUCGGUGGAUUUGCUGGACGUCGAGCGGCGGACGGGUGAGUAACGGCUGGGAACCUGCCCUGACGAGGGGGAUAACCGUU
This 167-nucleotide ribosomal RNA is filed under the name Salinivibrio sharmensis. RNAcentral describes it as "partial 16S ribosomal RNA". It matches the Rfam family "Bacterial small subunit ribosomal RNA", at positions 1 to 151 of the family's 1533-position model. The record is from RNAcentral. Lineage: Bacteria; Pseudomonadati; Pseudomonadota; Gammaproteobacteria; Vibrionales; Vibrionaceae.